AUGAGAUUGCUUCGCGGGGCAGUUGUUAUCUUGCUCAGUUUUGGCACAGUACCAUGUGAUGCAAUUGAGCCGGCCACGUGGCACCCACUCAGCGCAUCCAGCGGCACCGUGAGCAGUCAGAGUGUCUGGAAGAGGGCAUGGGAGGAACCCUCCUCACAGAAGGGCUCAGAAGGGACACAAACGCCCCUGCCCUUCCAACAGCUGCUGGCCAGCAAAGUACAUCGUCGGCUUUCAGCCAUCCUGUGCGUGAGUAGAAAGGGUGUUUCCAGCACAUCCCAAAAAGGGUUUCAGGCCUUGACACCAUCUAAGACGUGGCCACAUGAAGUUGAGCUUCCAGCUAAGGGGAGCCAGAAACACACCGUGCCUUGGGUGCUCAGCUUGGACUGUGACAGUACAAGCCCAAUGACAGCUGGUGCCUGGAAACCGUCUUGCUGCUGUUUUCUGUGAGUGGAGAGGAUCUUCUUUUGCAGACGAGAGGAAACAGUGUCAUCCAUUGGAGUGUGUUCCUAUGCUUCCAGGGACCCUGGAGUCAUCUGCUGGAGGGG
RNAcentral lists this long non-coding RNA (545 nucleotides) under Cercocebus atys (sooty mangabey). RNAcentral describes it as "lncRNA (ENSCATG00000045859.1)". The record is from RNAcentral. Lineage: Eukaryota; Metazoa; Chordata; Mammalia; Primates; Cercopithecidae.